UAAGUCAGAAUCCGGGCU
This 18-nucleotide small nuclear RNA is filed under the name Arabidopsis thaliana (thale cress). RNAcentral's name for it is "snRNA_07373". The record is from RNAcentral. Lineage: Eukaryota; Viridiplantae; Streptophyta; Magnoliopsida; Brassicales; Brassicaceae.